RNAcentral lists this ribosomal RNA (805 nucleotides) under uncultured bacterium. Its description in RNAcentral is "bacterial SSU rRNA". It matches the Rfam family "Bacterial small subunit ribosomal RNA", at positions 8 to 798 of the family's 1533-position model. The record is from RNAcentral.
AGAGUUUGAUCAUGGCUCAGGACGAACGCUGGCGGCGUGCCUAAUACAUGCAAGUAGAACGCUGAAGGGAGAGCUUGCUCUUCUGGAUGAGUUGCGAACGGGUGAGUAACGCGUAGGUAACCUGCCUGGUAGCGGGGGAUAACUAUUGGAAACGAUAGCUAAUACCGCAUAACAUUGACUAUUGCAUGAUAGUCAAUUAAAAGGUGCAAUUGCACCACUACCAGAUGGACCUGCGUUGUAUUAGCUAGUUGGUGGGGUAACGGCUCACCAAGGCGACGAUACAUAGCCGACCUGAGAGGGUGAUCGGCCACACUGGGACUGAGACACGGCCCAGACUCCUACGGGAGGCAGCAGUAGGGAAUCUUCGGCAAUGGACGGAAGUCUGACCGAGCAACGCCGCGUGAGUGAAGAAGGUUUUCGAAUCGUAAAGCUCUGUUGUAAGAGAAGAACGAGUGUGAGAGUGGAAAGUUCACACUGUGACGGUAUCUUACCAGAAAGGGACGGCUAACUACGUGCCAGCAGCCGCGGUAAUACGUAGGUCCCGAGCGUUGUCCGGAUUUAUUGGGCGUAAAGCGAGCGCAGGCGGUUAGAUAAGUCUGAAGUUAAAGGCUGUGGCUUAACCAUAGUACGCUUUGGAAACUGUUUAACUUGAGUGCAGAAGGGGAGAGUGGAAUUCCAUGUGUAGCGGUGAAAUGCGUAGAUAUAUGGAGGAACACCGGUGGCGAAAGCGGCUCUCUGGUCUGUAACUGACGCUGAGGCUCGAAAGCGUGGGGAGCAAACAGGAUUAGAUACCCCGGUAGUCCAA